CCUACGGGAGGCAGCAGUGAGGAAUAUUGGUCAAUGGGCGCGAGCCUGAACCAGCCAAGUAGCGUGAAGGAUGACUGCCCUACGGGUUGUAAACUUCUUUUAUAAAGGAAUAAAGUGAGGCCCGUGUGCCUUUUUGUAUGUCCUUUAUGAAUAAGGUUCGGCUAACUCCGUCCCAGCAGCCGCGGUAAUCCGGAGGAUCCGGGCGUUAUCCGGAUUUAUUGGGUUUAAAGGGAGCGUAGAUGGGUUGUUAAGUCAGUUGUGAAAGUUUGCGGCGCAACCGUAAAAUUGCAAUUGAUACUGGCAGGCUUGAGUACAGUUGAGGUAGGCGGAAUGCGUGGUGUAGCGGUGAAAUGCUUAGAUAUCACGAAGAACUCCGAUUGCGAAGGCAGCUUACUAAACUGCCACUGACAUUGAUGCUCGAAAGUGUGGGUAUCAAACAGGAUUAGAUACCCUAGUAGUC
RNAcentral lists this ribosomal RNA (460 nucleotides) under uncultured bacterium. Its description in RNAcentral is "partial 16S ribosomal RNA". It matches the Rfam family "Bacterial small subunit ribosomal RNA", at positions 338 to 795 of the family's 1533-position model. The record is from RNAcentral.